Molecule: ribosomal RNA, 369 nt
Filed under: uncultured eukaryote
Lineage: Eukaryota
Description: partial 18S ribosomal RNA
Rfam family: Eukaryotic small subunit ribosomal RNA
Source: RNAcentral
CAAUAGCGUAUAUUAAAGUUGUUGCAGUUAAAAAGCUCGUAGUUGGACCUUGGGCCUGGACGGGCGGUCCGCCUCACGGCGUGUACUGUCUUGCCGGGCCUUUCCUCUUGGUGAUCUGUUGUUUCGGCAGCAGGGAACCAGGACCUUUACUGUGAAUAAAUUAGAGUGUUCAAAGCAGGCUUACGCCGUUGAAUAUGCUAGCAUGGAAUAAUAAGAUAGGACCUUGGUACUAUUUUGUUGGUUUGCGCACCGAGGUAAUGAUUAAUAGGGACAGUUGGGGGUAUUCGUAUUGCAUUGUCAGAGGUGAAAUUCUUGGAUUUUUGCAAGACGAACGACUGCGAAANCANNNACCAAGGAUGUUUUCAUNAA